Long non-coding RNA from Brienomyrus brachyistius, 1418 nucleotides. RefSeq lists it as uncharacterized. NCBI's taxonomy places the organism in Eukaryota, Metazoa, Chordata, Actinopteri, Osteoglossiformes, Mormyridae. The record is from RefSeq and is a predicted model, not a curated record. The transcript is spliced from 3 exons.
CCCGGGGGGGUUGGGGGACCUGGCUGUGCUAGACAGUGUCGGCCGUUGGUACAGUGUGGUUGACUGAGAAUGAGGAGGUGCAGCUUGCACAGGGGUUCUUAGGGGUUCUCGUUGGUUUUGGUGAGGUAGCCCAUUAUGAGACAGACAGGGCUCUUCAUUGGCUUUGGUGAAGUAGCCCAUUAUGAGACAGACAGGGCUCUUCAUUGGCUUUGGUGAGGUAGCCCAUUAUGAGGCAGACAGGGCUCUUCAUUGGCUUUGGUGAGGUAGCCCAUUAUGAGACAGACAGGGCUCUUCAUUGGCUUUGGUGAAGUAGCCCAUUAUGAGACAGACAGGGCUCUUCAUUGGCUUUGGUGAAGUAGCCCAUUAUGAGACAGACAGGGCUCUUCAUUGGCUUUGGUGAGGUAGCCCAUUAUGAGGCAGACAGGGCUCUUCAUUGGCUUUGGUGAGGUAGCCCAUUAUGAGACAGAUAUAUAUUUGCCAGUCACGGCAAUUCUGUCUUCUGCAGUAUGACCCCUGACUGACCAAAGUGUUUAUGUGCUGCCCCACUCCCCCCCCAGAGGGAUAGUCCCAGACAAAACAUCUGCAGGGGUUGAUUUUCUCUAGGUUAAUUCCGUGCUCAGGAAGGAGGGCUCACCUGAGACCUUGCAGGAAAUGACCUUUGUUUUAGCUGCCGGCACAGACUCCUGCUGGUGAUUAGACGCGUGCAGCCCAGGGGAUGUGUCUGCAGACCUUUCUGGGGCUAAGCCUGGAUCAUUGUGGCUCUAAUCUGGGAAGUACACAAGAGUAAGUGCUACACAAAAAUGUUCCCCAAGCCCAGGGAUUAUGCAUUAGUUUGGAUAAUCAACCCGUCAGAAACAGGACAGAAAGGGAGGGAAAUCUGGGUAUUUGUGUCCUUUUUCUAAUAAAUAACCUUUUUCCCCUGAAUGUUUGCCAGACAAUCACCCUGCAGAUGCCCCUAUAGGAGGUGGGGAAGGGCCAUUGAUUUGGGGCAAACGGCCAGAAGCUCCCGAUUGGUGUAACAGCGGCUGGCUGUUUGGUGAUGCACUCCUGCUGGAUUAAAUGCUUCUGUGGGGAAGUUGCCCUGCCCUACCCAGCCUUGCUCUGUCCUGCCAUGCCCAGCCUAACCCGGCCCAGCCUUGCCCAGCCCUGACCUACCCUGACCUGUCCAGCCCAGCCCAGCCCUGCCCGUAGUCAUCACGUCUGCUGGGCCCUAAAGCCGCAAGUUAACAUUUUUUAAGAAAAGUAGAGGAAGGGCAGAGCGGCUAAGGGCAGAGCCCAGGCACACACCAUCGCUAAGGGGGGCCUGGCUGGGCUGGGCUGGGCCGGGCCGGGGGCUUUUCAAGGGGCAUAAUAAUCACAAAUUAAGUCUUUUUGUAUUCGUAGACUCAAUUCCAUUAGCAUGACAAAGCUGCUGUGUA